AUGCAGCACCGCUCGCCGGCGGCCGCCUCAGCCUCCGCCUCCCCCGGGGCGGUGGCGGCGGCGGCGGCGGCCAUGGCGCCCGGCGUGGGCGGGGUCGAGCCGGCCGUGGCGCUCGACCAGGUCCCGCGCUGGAGCGACCCCGACCAGCGCUUCCACUCGCCCUCCUCCCCCACCGCGGCCGGAUCCGAGGCCCCCGCCUCCUCCUUCCUCUCCUUCGCCGACCCGCUCGACGCGGCCGCGGGGGGCGGGGGCCACGGCGCGUGCCGCUUCCCCGUCGACCCCGAGGUCAACUCCAGGAUCUACCUCUGGCGGGGCCACCCCUGGAACCUCGAGGUCGACGCCGUCGUCAACUCCACCAACGAGAGCUUGGACGAGGCGCAUAGUAGCCCUGGGCUGCAUGCGGCGGCGGGGCCGGAGCUCGCUGAGGAGUGUGCCACCUUGGGUGGGUGCCGGACUGGGAUGGCGAAGAUGACCAAUGCGUAUGAUCUGCCUGCUAGGAAAGUCAUCCAUACAGUGGGCCCUAAAUAUGCUGUCAAGUAUCACACAGCUGCAGAGAGUGCACUUAGCCACUGCUACAGGUCUUGCCUGGAACUACUCGUAGAGAAUGGUCUUGAAAGCAUUGCAAUGGGCUGCAUAUACACAGAAGCCAAAAAUUAUCCCCGUGAACCGGCUGCCCAUGUGGCAAUAAGAACUGUGAGACGUUUUCUGGAGAAGCAGAAGGACAAAAUAACUGCUGUUGUCUUUUGUACCAUAUCAUCAACUGAUACAGAGAUAUAUAAGCGACUGCUUCCUCUUUAUUUCCCACGGGACAAACAAGAGGAAGAGAUGGCUUCGUUAAAACUUCCAGCUGAUGUUGGGGAUGAGAAUGGUGAGCCAAUAAUAGAUGAAAGGAAAAUAAGAAUAAAAACAUUGCCUGCUGAGGCAGCAAAUAGCAAGUAUGCAGUUCCCGUGCCCGCAGAUAUUCCUCUUUCUGGUUCUGGAUUGACACGUAGAAGAAAUUCUAAGUUGGAUUCAUAUUUGGAUCCAUCCUUUAUGUCCAUAAUUAAAGAUCCGGAUCUCCGACGCAAGGAGCAAUGGGAAAAGUCUGCGCAGGCAAAGAAGGGAUUUAAUUUUGCUAAGUUGCUUGGUUUUGGUGAUCUUGGCGGUCCUGCAUUAUCGGCUGCAGAAGAAUAUUCACUUCAUCAACGUUACCUUGCUAAAGCAAAUUCCCUUAAUCUUUCAGAAAUCGCUGAAAUGAAAAUAAUUUACCGUGGCGGAGUUGACAGUGAAGGGCGUCCAAUUAUGGUUGUUGUUGGCGCUCACUUUCUUCUUCGCUGUUUGGACCUGGAACGAUUUAUUCUAUAUGUAAUAAAGGAGUUUGAACCUUUGAUUCAAAAGCCUUACUCAAUUGUCUAUUUCCACUCAGCAGCGUCCUUACAAGUACAGCCAGACUUGGGAUUCAUGAAGCGGUUACAACAAAUGCUAGGUCGUAAGCAUCAGCGAAAUCUUCAGGCUAUAUAUGUACUCCACCCAACGCUGGGAUUGAGAACAGCUAUUUUGGCGUUGCAGCUUCUUGUUGAUGGAGAUGUCUGGAAGAAAGUUGUCUAUGUCGACAGACUUAUGCAGCUGUUCAGAUACGUGCCACGGGAACAACUAACAAUUCCAGAUUUUGUCUUCCAGCAUGAUCUAGAAGUGAAUGGUGGAAAGGGCAUAAUCGUUGAUCCUAGAACGAAGCAUGUCUACCAAAGACCGUCAGGUUGA
RNAcentral lists this ribosomal RNA (1740 nucleotides) under Triticum aestivum (bread wheat). RNAcentral describes it as "partial small subunit ribosomal RNA". The record is from RNAcentral. Lineage: Eukaryota; Viridiplantae; Streptophyta; Magnoliopsida; Poales; Poaceae.